UAGGGAAUUUUCGGCAAUGGGGGCAACCCUGACCGAGCGACGCCGCGUGAGUGAAGAAGGCCUUCGGGUUGUAAAGCUCUGUUGUAAGGGAAGAAUGGCACCAGCAGGGAAUGGCUGGUGAUUGACGGUACCUUACCAGAAAGCCACGGCUAACUACGUGCCAGCAGCCGCGGUAAUACGUAGGUGGCAAGCGUUAUCCGGAAUUAUUGGGCGUAAAGGGUGCGUAGGCGGCUAUUUAAGUUCAAGGUUAAAGUUCGGGGCUCAACCCCGUGAUGCCUUGGAAACUGGAUGGCUAGAGUACAGGAGAGGUGAGUGGAAUUCCAUGUGUAGCGGUAAAAUGCGUAGAUAUAUGGAGGAACACCAGUGGCGAAGGCGGCUCACUGGCCUGUAACUGACGCUGAGGCACGAAAGCGUGGGGAGCAAAUAGG
Molecule: ribosomal RNA, 428 nt
Filed under: uncultured prokaryote
Also listed under: 1 other name
Description: bacterial SSU rRNA
Rfam family: Bacterial small subunit ribosomal RNA
Source: RNAcentral